GCGGGUGUAGUUCAAUGGCAGAAUGAAAGCUUCCCAAGCUUUAGACACGGGUUCGAUUCCCGCCACCCGCUCCA
This 74-nucleotide transfer RNA is filed under the name Chromatiales bacterium RIFOXYA1_FULL_46_5. RNAcentral's name for it is "tRNA-Gly". It matches the Rfam family "tRNA". From Rfam's summary of the family: Transfer RNA (tRNA) molecules are approximately 80 nucleotides in length. Their secondary structure includes four short double-helical elements and three loops (D, anti-codon, and T loops). RNAcentral also lists the same sequence under 6 other names. Lineage: Bacteria; Pseudomonadati; Pseudomonadota; Gammaproteobacteria; Chromatiales. The record is from RNAcentral.